UAGAGGUUUUUUUCUCUGUCAGAUUGAACGCUGGCGGCAUGCUUACACAUGCAAGUCGAACGGUAACAGGUCUCGGAUGCUGACGAGUGCGAACGGGUGAGUAAUACAUCGGAACGUGCCCGAGAGUGGGGGAUAACGAAGCGAAAGCUUUGCUAAUACCGCAUACGAUCUCAGGAUGAAAGCAGGGGACCGCAAGGCCCUUGCGCUCACGGAGCGGCCGAUGGCAGAUUAGGUAGUUGGUGGGAUAAAAGCUUACCAAGCCGACGAUCUGUAGCUGGUCUGAGAGGACGACCAGCCACACUGGACUGAGACACGGCCCAGACUCCUACGGGAGGCAGCAGUGGGGAAUUUUGGACAAUGGGCGCAAGCCUGAUCCAGCCAUGCCGCGUGCAGGAUGAAGGCCUUCGGGUUGUAAACCGCUUUUGUACGGAACGAAAAGACUCUGGUUAAUACCUGGGGUCCAUGACGGUACCGUAAGAAUAAGCACCGGCUAACUACGUGCCAGCAGCCGCGGUAAUAC
This 520-nucleotide ribosomal RNA is filed under the name uncultured Acidovorax sp. RNAcentral describes it as "bacterial SSU rRNA". It matches the Rfam family "Bacterial small subunit ribosomal RNA", at positions 1 to 526 of the family's 1533-position model. The record is from RNAcentral. Lineage: Bacteria; Pseudomonadati; Pseudomonadota; Betaproteobacteria; Burkholderiales; Comamonadaceae.